CAGGACGAACGCUGGCGGCGUGCCUAAUACAUGCAAGUCGAACGGUCUUUCUAUGGAAGCUUGCUUCCACUGAGAAGAUAGUGGCGAACGGGUGAGUAACACGUGGGUAACCUGCCCAUAAGAGGGGGGAUAACAUCCGGAAACGGGUGCUAAUACCGCAUAGUUUUCUUGAUCGCAUGAUUGAGAAAGGAAAGACGGCCUUUGUGCUGUCGCUUAUGGAUGGACCCGCGGCGUAUUAGUUAGUUGGUGAGGUAACGGCUCACCAAGACGAUGAUACGUAGCCGACCUGAGAGGGUGAUCGGCCACAUUGGGACUGAGACACGGCCCAAACUCCUACGGGAGGCAGCAGUAGGGAAUCUUCCGCAAUGGACGAAAGUCUGACGGAGCAACGCCGCGUGAGUGAAAGAAGGUUUUCGGAUCGUAAAACUCUGUUGUCAGAGAAGAACAAGUUGGAGAGUAACUGCUCCAGCCUUGACGGUAUCUGACCAGAAAGCCACGGCUAACUACGUGCCAGCCGCCGC
This 521-nucleotide ribosomal RNA is filed under the name uncultured bacterium. Its description in RNAcentral is "bacterial SSU rRNA". It matches the Rfam family "Bacterial small subunit ribosomal RNA", at positions 25 to 518 of the family's 1533-position model. The record is from RNAcentral.